This 850-nucleotide small RNA is filed under the name Pan troglodytes (chimpanzee). Its description in RNAcentral is "processed transcript". The record is from RNAcentral. Lineage: Eukaryota; Metazoa; Chordata; Mammalia; Primates; Hominidae.
GCAUGUGGGACAAGUAUAACGAGCCGCUGUUGCAGUCAGUGUGCGUGUUCCGCGAGCGGACCGCGCGGCGCGUCCUGGAGCUGCACCGCGGACAGGACGCCGCGGCCCGGCUGCUGCGCCUCUACCGGCGCCACGAGCCUCGCUUCCCCGAGCUGGCCGCCCUUGCAGACCCCCACGCUCAGCUGCUACAGCGCCGCCUCGACUUCCUCGCCAAGCACAUUUUGCACUGCAAGGCCAAGUACGGCCGCCGGUCUGGGACUUAGUGUCACCGGGAGGAAAAGAGAGAGACCUGGGGCUGGGGUAUGGAUGAUGGGGGGAAGGGCCGUCGCCUCUGCUACUGUCAGGGACCAGCCGGCCAACGCCCACCCGCAAAGAGCGCUGGUGGCCCCGGAGCAGGGCUGUGACAUUGGCUGGUGGAGCCCCCUUCCUGUGUUCUCCCUUUGUUCCAGCGCCGCGAUGGUGAGAUCACUGUUCCAAGCAGGGGGACGGCUCCCGAUAGGACAAAGAGAGCAGGACCUCCAGACUGGGGAGCCCUGCAGACCUUGACAAUUUGCCUGACUCAUUCCUGACCUCUUGUCAUUUUGGCCUGAAGGCUACAAAUUCAGGGCCAGCUGUAUGCACUAAGUCAAAUAAUGAAUUUCUUCCUCCCUCUCGCAACCGACCAAAAUUUUGACAACGAUGAUGUUCACCAGAAGGAAAAAAAAAAUCAGUUUUAUGCACUUUAUUUUGUUUUGAUUUUAAUUUUUUAUUAAGAAAAACUUUUUUAUUUUACAGAAUUUACCUUCUCUGUAUAUAUGUGCAUAAAGUGUGGUGUAAAUAUACUAAACAAACUUAUAUUUCAAUAAAAGGG